UGCAAGUCGAACGAUGAAGCCCAGCUUGCUGGGUGGAUUAGUGGCGAACGGGUGAGUAACACGUGAGUAACCUGCCCUUGACUCUAGGAUAAGCCCGGGAAACUGGGUCUAAUACUGGAUAGGAACGUCUACCGCAUGGUGGAUGUUGGAAAGAAUUUCGGUCAUGGAUGGACUCGCGGCCUAUCAGCUUGUUGGUGAGGUAAUGGCUCACCAAGGCGACGACGGGUAGCCGGCCUGAGAGGGUGACCGGCCACACUGGGACUGAGACACGGCCCAGACUCCUACGGGAGGCAGCAGUGGGGAAUAUUGCACAAUGGGCGAAAGCCUGAUGCAGCGACGCCGCGUGAGGGAUGACGGCCUUCGGGUUGUAAACCUCUUUCAGUAGGGAAGAAGCGAAAGUGACGGUACCUGCAGAAGAAGCACCGGCUAACUACGUGCCAGCAGCCGCGGUAAUACGUAGGGUGCGAGCGUUAUCCGGAAUUAUUGGGCGUAAAGAGCUCGUAGGCGGUUUGUCGCGUCUGUCGUGAAAGUCCGGGGCUUAACCCCGGAUCUGCGGUGGGUACGGGCAGACUAGAGUGCAGUAGGGGAGACUGGAAUUCCUGGUGUAGCGGUGGAAUGCGCAGAUAUCAGGAGGAACACCGAUGGCGAAGGCAGGUCUCUGGGCUGUAACUGACGCUGAGGAGCGAAAGCAUGGGGAGCGAACAGGAUUAGAUACCCUG
RNAcentral lists this ribosomal RNA (719 nucleotides) under bacterium. RNAcentral's name for it is "bacterial SSU rRNA". It matches the Rfam family "Bacterial small subunit ribosomal RNA", at positions 56 to 789 of the family's 1533-position model. The record is from RNAcentral.